This is a long non-coding RNA of Mesocricetus auratus (golden hamster), 2598 nucleotides long. RefSeq lists it as uncharacterized. The transcript has 4 exons. NCBI's taxonomy places the organism in Eukaryota, Metazoa, Chordata, Mammalia, Rodentia, Cricetidae. The record is from RefSeq and is a predicted model, not a curated record.
UCUGUUCAGGGCUAAGACCUCUUGACCUUCCCCUUCCGCAUUAGCAAGGCUACUGGUGUCCUCGUUUGGGUCACACUUAGGUGGCCAUGUUGAUGAGAUUGCAGUCUGAGGAGGCAGUCUGAGAACAGCAUCACCGCUUUGGUCUGAGGUAGAGGUAAGAGCUAGUGGCUGGCUGCUUUUCUUCUCUGAUCUUUCAACUUUCCCUCUCUGGUAGCUGACUCCGGGUUUUCAUAAUUAAGACCAACUAGAGCUCAUGCUACAAGACUUCAUGAGCAUAGUUUCCCUCCCUUAUUAAAUGGUGCUGGAAUUGGAGGAAGUGGCAGAGUGGAGAGCAGGAGGCGGGUCUGGGGACCCUUGGGUGCUCUGUCAUGCUUCUGCUCUCCCAGAUCAGCAGGGCCGCUCUGGUGUGCCACAGGAAGGGAGCACAGGCUGCAUCCCCCAUGCAGGGGCUGCCGGCUGCCCUGUGCUCUCCUGGCCUCUGUCCCUGAGUCGCUGUCCAGGGGUCUGCCAGGCUUGCUACGAGUUCGUAUGCUCAUUAAUCACCCAUGCCUUUCCUUAUUGGAGCACUCCUGGGAAGCCCUGGCCCACCGUACUCUGAAAGUUUCCAGCCUCGUCCUCCUGGCCAAGGUCCCAGUUAUGUGGAAAACCACAGGCUCUCAGUGUCCAUUACAAGCAGGAGAAGAAAAUGACCCCAGAAGUGUGGCAGGCAGAAGGGAGGGAAAUGGUGACCUCUGGGUCUUGGGGAGCAGGGUGGAGGAGGAGGCCGCUGCCCAGAGCCAUCACUCUGACCAGGGUAGCAGGCUGUCAGAUGUCUCAACUCCUAUGCGAGGCCAAGGGAAACAGGUCCUUCAGAGCGAGUGUCCCUGAUGGCUGGUACCUGACUCUCAGGGUGCUCUGUGAGUGCACACUCGAUGGCAUCUUCAGCACUCAGCUCCACCCCAGGAGAAGCCUCUGGACUCUGUUACAGACAGGUCCACACCAUUUUCCAUGGCUUUCUCUCCUGCCUCCGAAUGCACAAGUCUCUCACUUGAGUGUCCAGAAAUCCUGCCACUGCAGAACAAGAGCAGGAAACAUGACUCUUUGGCAAGAGACCCAACUGAUACAGAAAGUUACAGAAUGAGAAUUGGAGCUACAAUAGUGAAUCGAAAGCAUUGUGUUUAGAGUCUAAGGGGCUGCUACCCACGUUCUCUUUCAUGACGGUGAAGGUGCUGAAGAGGGCUUUUGCUCCCCACACAGCUGGUUCUGUGGUUUUUGGAAAGAGCUUCUCUACGAAGUGACAAAUAAAGGGACACGCGUGCUUUACCAUCUUAUUUACCCAUGCUACACUUUCGGUGUCUGGAAAAUGUACCCAGGUGGGCAGAUCGCUGGCCCGCACCCCCAGGAGCGCAGCUGGCUCCUGGUCCUCCAGCAGCGGCAGCGCACAGCACGGGUGGCUGACCUCGAGACCGCCGCUCCGGUGGCACCAAACAAGAAGCCCGAGCUCCAGCAGCAGCCAGCUGAAGCUCAGCCCAGGGUGUCCACGGGCGGGCGGCAGCAGCUCAGAGCUGUGCACCAGCUGCCCCAGCCGCUCGGGUGAGUCCACACUCAGCGCACUGCCCGGGCCCGGCCAGCACGGGGCUCUGGGUGCCUUCCUAACUGGACGGGCAGACACACAAGACAGACAACACGAAAGAAGGGAAGACAAGGGGGUCCCGAGGCUUACUCGUCAAAGGUCCUCUCCCUGAAAUACACCGAUUUAGGGGUACUGUCCAGCACCGCGAGCGAGGAGAGGGAGACACUAGAACUCGUUCUGGGCAACACCCCAAAAUUACAGCGGCAGCAAAGUUGAUGGACCUGACUUGGGGAGCUCAAAACCUAUGCCCCGAGUGCCUGUUCAGGGCACCAGAUGUUGCUAGGUCCUAAGGGCUCCCUCAGAGGAAGAGCUGAGAAGGCGCCAUUCCAACCACACAGACACUGGGAGUCAGGUAAAAGAGGAAACAGCAGAAUUGAAAUGAAACAAACAAAGAAGAGUGAGGUAUCCAAGUUGACAACAGCUGGUGAGGAAGGCACUAGCUUUGGAUUCAGCUCAGUUGGGGUUAGAACUGAGACAGCGUGCACUCUUUUGACUGUUUAAGAAAGGCUUUUUAUGUGGUAUAGAACAAUAAUACUGUUUAUUUAGGGCUUCCUGAAUGCAGGCAUGGUGCUGGAUAUGUUAAUGCAAUGUUUCAUUUCUUCUCACAAGAAUCCCACGAAGGAGGAACCCCAUGGCCCCCAUUUUCCAGGUGGUGUGGCCCACGCACAGAGUGAGGAGCCCCAUCGCUCCGUUUUCCAGGUGGUGUGGCUGAGGCAUCCUGCCCCCACGCAGAGCUGCUCAGAAGCAGAGCCGGGAUCCUCAGCUAACUCACCUAAGGCGUAAGCAUGCCCUUCCCUAGAUCUGCUUUGGUCUGAAGUGUGGAAUCUCCCAGGAAUGAGGUUUUAAGUCAAGAGGGCAGGGUCAAGAUUUCUUGAAUUAACUGGCAAUCAGCAGGAAAACAAGAACUGAACAGGGACUUUGCACAACAGAAGGAGAAUCUGAAAUAUCACAUUAUUGGAGCUUGGGCAAUAAAUACAUGUCAAAGA